This 253-nucleotide ribosomal RNA is filed under the name uncultured bacterium. RNAcentral describes it as "partial 16S ribosomal RNA". It matches the Rfam family "Bacterial small subunit ribosomal RNA", at positions 524 to 776 of the family's 1533-position model. The record is from RNAcentral.
UACAGAGGGUGCAAGCGUUGUUCGGAAUCAUUGGGCGUAAAGCGCACGUAGGCGGCUUUGCAAGUCAGGUGUGAAAGCCUGGGGCUCAACCCCAGAAGUGCACUUGAAACUGCAGAGCUUGAGUCUUGGAGAGGGCAGUGGAAUUCCGAGUGUAGAGGUGAAAUUCGUAGAUAUUCGGAGGAACACCAGUGGCGAAGGCGACUGCCUGGACAAAGACUGACGCUGAGGUGCGAAAGCGUGGGGAGCAAACAGG